AGAGUUUGAUCCUGGCUCAGGAUGAACGCUGGCGGCGUGCCUAACACAUGCAAGUCGAGCGGUAAAUAUUGGAACGAAAUUUCGAUCGAGUGAAGAUAUUGAGAGCGGCGGACGGGUGAGUAACGCGUAGGCAACCUGCCCCAUACAGAGGGAUAGCCUCGGGAAACCGGGAUUAAAACCUCAUAACGCCAGAAGUUCACAUGGACUUUUGGCCAAAGAUUUAUCGGUAUGGGAUGGGCCUGCGUCUGAUUAGCUAGUUGGUGGGGUAACGGCCUACCAAGGCAACGAUCAGUAGCCGACCUGAGAGGGUAAUCGGCCACAUUGGAACUGAGACACGGUCCAAACUCCUACGGGAGGCAGCAGUGGGGAAUAUUGCACAAUGGGCGAAAGCCUGAUGCAGCAACGCCGCGUGAGCGAUGAAGGCCUUUGGGUCGUAAAGCUCUGUCCUUGGGGAAGAAAAAAUGACGGUACCCUUGGAGGAAGCCCCGGCUAACUACGUGCCAGCAGCCGCGGUAAUACGUAGGGGGCAAGCGUUAUCCGGAAUUAUUGGGCGUAAAGAGUGCGUAGGUGGUUUUAUAAGCGUGAGGUGAAAGGCAAUGGCUCAACUAUUGUAAGCCUUGUGAACUGUAAGACUUGAGUGCAGGAGAGGAAAGUGGAAUUCCUAGUGUAGCGGUGAAAUGCGUAGAUAUUAGGAGGAACACCAGUGGCGAAGGCGACUUUCUGGACUGUAACUGACACUGAGGCACGAAAGCGUGGGGAGCAAACAGGAUUAGAUACCCUGGUAGUCCACGCCGUAAACGAUGAGCACUAGGUGUCGGGGCCGCAAGGUUUCGGUGCCGCAGUUAACGCAUUAAGUGCUCCGCCUGGGGAGUACGCACGCAAGUGUGAAACUCAAAGGAAUUGACGGGGACCCGCACAAGCAGCGGAGCAUGUGGUUUAAUUCGAAGCAACGCGAAGAACCUUACCAGGACUUGACAUCCCUCUGACCGGCGCUUAACCGUGUUCCCUUCGGGGCAGGGGUGACAGGUGGUGCAUGGUUGUCGUCAGCUCGUGUCGUGAGAUGUUGGGUUAAGUCCCGCAACGAGCGCAACCCUUGUCUUUAGUUACCAUCAUUCAGUUGGGGACUCUAGAGAGACUGCCGGUGAUAAACCGGAGGAAGGUGGGGAUGACGUCAAAUCAUCAUGCCCCUUAUGGCCUUGGCUACACACGUACUACAAUGGCGUAUACAGAGAGACGCGAAGUGGCGACAUGGAGCAAACCUCACAAAGUACGUCUCAGUUCAGAUUGAAGUCUGCAACUCGACUUCAUGAAGGCGGAAUCGCUAGUAAUCGCGGAUCAGCAUGCCGCGGUGAAUACGUUCUCGGGCCUUGUACACACCGCCCGUCA
Molecule: ribosomal RNA, 1386 nt
Filed under: uncultured bacterium
Lineage: Bacteria
Description: bacterial SSU rRNA
Rfam family: Bacterial small subunit ribosomal RNA
Source: RNAcentral